Molecule: long non-coding RNA, 371 nt
Filed under: Capsicum annuum
Lineage: Eukaryota; Viridiplantae; Streptophyta; Magnoliopsida; Solanales; Solanaceae
Description: long non-coding RNA (CANN_LNC002792)
Source: RNAcentral
UUUUACUAGAUAUUUUGCUAUAUAAUUUUCUUCUUCUCCUGUGUUUAAGAGUAUUAAAUAUUCUUUUUCAUUUAUUUUUCCCGUUAUAUAAUAUUGAUUUAAGUUACUUAUUGAGUUUGUUUCAUAACUUGUUCUUUUUGAUGAGCUUGAUGAUUCUGGCUUUUCAUUAGCUAUUCUUUUCGUUGUACUUAUUCUAUCAUUUACUAUUUCUAAAUUUUCUUCUGUAUCUAUGUCUCUAUAGGUAUAAUCAUUAUAAUCUAUUGUUUUUACUAUUUGUUCGAAUGGGCUUUCUAUUUGUAUUUUGUUAAUCUUAUUUUUUCCUGUUAUUUUAUGUUUUGUUGUUAAUACAUAUAGAUUUUUACAUCUUGCUG